RNAcentral lists this ribosomal RNA (403 nucleotides) under Fusobacteriota bacterium. RNAcentral describes it as "Fusobacteria bacterium partial 16S ribosomal RNA". It matches the Rfam family "Bacterial small subunit ribosomal RNA", at positions 355 to 776 of the family's 1533-position model. Lineage: Bacteria; Fusobacteriati; Fusobacteriota. The record is from RNAcentral.
UGGGGAAUCUUGCACAAUGGGGGAAACCCUGAUGCAGCGACGCCGCGUGAGCGAUGAAGGUUUUCGAAUCGUAAAGCUCUGUCCUAUGGGAAGAUAAUGACGGUACCAUGGGAGGAAGCCCCGGCUAACUACGUGCCAGCAGCCGCGGUAAUACGUAGGGGGCGAGCGUUGUCCGGAAUUACUGGGCGUAAAGGGUUCGCAGGCGGCAUGGCAAGUCCGAUGUAAAAGGCGAAGGCUCAACCUUCGUAAGCAUCGGAAACUGUCAAGCUUGAGUGAAGGAGAGGCAAGUGGAAUUCCUAGUGUAGCGGUUGAAUGCGUAGAUAUUAGGAGGAAUACCGGUGGCGAAGGCGACUUGCUGGACUUCAACUGACGCUGAGGAACGAAAGCGUGGGUAGCAAACAGG